This 4345-nucleotide ribosomal RNA is filed under the name Triticum aestivum (bread wheat). Its description in RNAcentral is "partial small subunit ribosomal RNA". The record is from RNAcentral. Lineage: Eukaryota; Viridiplantae; Streptophyta; Magnoliopsida; Poales; Poaceae.
UGGCUGAGCCCCUCUCCCUCUCUCCCAGAAGACGAAGGAGGGGAGGCGGAGGCUGAGGCUGAGGAGGGGGUUUAAGCCGGCGUGAGUAGGUUAGGUAGCUAGGCGGCGGGGCAGGGGCAGGGGCAGGGGAGGAGAAGGAGAGGGGACUGGGUGGUUGGGCGCGGGUUGCGGGGCGGGCGCGCGGGCACGGGAUCUGGGGAGCGGCGGCGGAGCCUGGGGGGCGGAGGGCGGCCGCCGCGGCAAGGGGAAGGAGGGGCGGCGGCUGAGAAGGGGGCGACCCAAACUCGACUUGGGUGGGUGGUCCAACCAAUUGGGAGAAGGCACGGGCGCGGAUCCACUUAACUAGCUGUCGGUUCCGCCUAAGAAGGCAUGACUAAGUGUUACCGCCUCCUCCUGCUGCUGGUCGCGGACGACGUGUCGGAGCCGCAGUGGAGGCGGUUGUAGCUGCUGUAGCUCUCCUUCUAGGACAGCGUCCGCUUUUGGCUGGGCUUCUUCCCGCUGCGGCUCUGCGGCCCCGGCUGGCGGUGGCCACUGGUCCUCUCAUCGGACUGUUGCGGAGUUCUACUACGAGUCCGGUUUGACGUGGUCUUUGACGCGAGGCACGUCGAACUCUAGCUGCGACACCGAAGGUGCGAGCCUCCCCGAUUUGUUCGACGACCUUUCUUUUCGCCGCCGCCACCGAGCCCAACGCGACUACGACUCCUAUUCUUCUUCUUCUUCUUCCUCUUCCACUUCCUCCUCCUCUUACGACUACUUCUGCGGGGAGCACCUCCUCGGGAGGUCGUCCGCGAACGGCGACUCGCCGAGUCCUCGGAGUUCUCCCGAUUCCACGUCUAAGUCGCUCUCUAUAACGUCAGCCCUGGACCGGGCAGGCCCAGCCCGUUGGUUUUUCUGUUCUACGACCGUUACGACCAGCUUCUGCUCGGCUCCGCCUUCUUCAGUGACUUCGGCGGACCACCCGGAUUCUUCUUCAGCGGCUGCGCAGCCAACUUUUGGCAGUGGAUGCUACUACUGCUGCUGAAGCUGUGUCACGAGCUACCUCGAAGACGCCCCAAGUACCUCUGACUUUCCCUUCUCGACUAUUCCUUCCCAAACGACUGUGGCAAAGUGUUCAACUUCCCGAAACUCUUCGCGCAACUCGCGGGACCUUGAAGAUCGUCCGUUUUACCGAGACGUCUUGUUCGGCUCCUUUGGUACCUUCGAAGGUCGUAACGAUUUCAACGAGUCCGUUACGUCUUGUACCGUGUUUCGGCGGGUUGAUGGUUUAACGAACUACGCCUCAAGAACGGAUUCGACCUUCGUGGCUGACGAGGCAAAGUUUCCGAACCUCAUGGAGAUUUUGCGGUACCGGAAGGGUCAAGUCUACUCGCCUUUUUGUUUUCCGAUUUCUCAUUCUGGUUCUCUGGCAACGGACCGUUCUUUACCUACUUUCGGUUAAGUUUCUUCCUCUGUAAUAACCUACUACUCCUACACCCUCUACGUCGGCGUAGUCGAAGACACAGACUCUUACUUCUACUCCAUUAUCUUCCAAGACUACCCAAUGGAGGUCAGUAGGAACUUCCACCAAAUUCUUAAGGACCGAGUCAAAUGUGUGUCGACAAACUGAUGGUUUUUCACCCUCACGUCACCAAUACCCUCAAUGUAACAGUUUCCCGACCACCUUAUUAACCGCUACUUUACCCGAAUCCUUUCUGGCACGUCCAGAAUAGUAAAGAACCACGAAACGUACUGUCACCAUACAUGUUCGGAUCAUAACAAUAGACAGGACACUGGGAAAACGUUGUCACCGCUUCCCUCCGGUCAUUCACCAUAGGUUUUAAGUUUCAACUCUAGAAUGUACUAAGACGUUUGUCAAGUUCAUUUUUCCCGUUCUCUAUGUCACUAAGACUCUCACUACAAAGAACCCUAUCGCUGGUCCUUCUCCAAUGUGCAUACUUCGGACGUGUUUUCACCCUACUGAACUAAAGUGCACAACAUUUAAGUCCCAGUCCAAACGAAGACUGAUGUAUGCUCGUCGAUUCUUAGUAUGCCCUCUUCAACGAACUACAUCUUACCCCUAUACGACAUAACCUACUCCCAGUGGCGUAUUCCUUAGGAUUACGGCUUCAUUGAGAGCACACGUUCGUUAACGUCUGACACGUGUCCUAUUAAUACUGUCCCCGCGGAUAGGUCUUAUUUGAAAGCCUUGACACCAGAGAGAAACUAAAACACAAGGGACCCUUUAAUCCUCAGGAAGGUCACAAACUCUGGCUCAAGAGUCAAGGUUAAUGACAGCCACCCAUACGAUUACGUUGUGGUAACGUUCACAGGUGUCGCAUGUCUACACGACAACAGGACGCACUGAACUAGUACGGUAUAGAAGAAUCCUCUUACUUUCGACUACAGUUACGUGUCGAAGGGUUCUUUUGUCUCGUCCAAGAAAAGACAUCAAAUUGAGUUCUCGUUGCACGAUGAAUAGCACGUAAGGAACGAUCAAGUCUCCACCUCGUUUAUAAACUACCAUUGUCUUUGAGGGAAAUGCCCUAUCUACAGGAUUCCUUCUAUACAUUAGUAGGACUAGAAGAACUCUCUCUUGUUCGGCGAGUCUUAGGACUGAUACCCUUAUAACUUUCUUCACCCUUCUACUUUCACCAACUCGUUCAUGAAUUUCAGACCUUUCUAGUUCCGGUAGCACAAGAAGAAAAACGAGUCUGGGUUGUCUACGAACUGUAAAACCUUUUGAAGAACUGACGGGCGCUGAUGGUUAUAGCUUCUUACCUACCUGAAUGUGGAGGUUUCGUUUCUUACCGUGAGUAACUACUCAAGUUAUUAUGUCUACUUUAAAAGUAAAAGUAAGACUGUUGUUUUCAACCACCUAACCCAUGCUUAAACUGACCACGUUUGUCCCAAUAUUAUAAGCUAGGACUGACCUUGGGAAGCUGUCUGUACGUCCGGUCCCUUGCUCGUACCGCUUAACCCGUUUUUUCUCUACACUGUCAAAUGUCCAACUAGUGUGCACCCUGCUAUCUCCUCUUUCAGAUGGUAGCUGUCUAUAUGUUCGUAAAAGAGUGUUUGUUUCAUGACUUUUUGGGAGUCGUUUCCUCCAAGAAAUUUCGGUCUCUGUACUUUCUAAAUAAGUGUAACGUUCUACUACUGUUCUUACCAAGUUGACUUUGUAGUUUGUAAAAACCGGUUGACAGACUUCUACACUUGUAACCACGAGGUCUACCGCUCCUCGCUCCGCUCGCUAGAAGUCGAAAUGGCUGGUCGCGUCUCCGACUUGGUAGACAACUACCUCUACCCUUUAGUCUGGAAUCUAGACUGGUUCGCCUACUUCUUAGGUUGUAAAACUUCUCAGAAAAACUACCGGUCCCGCAAGUAUCACGAUAUUUAGUACUACGGUAUUACUCACGAUUGCUGCUAGUCUUCGACGCCGAUCUUCGUCUCCGAAGUGUCCACCGUGUUUCCCGUCGGCUCCGAAAUGCGGUUAGUGCCUACGAGUCUUCGGCACUACUAAAACGACAAGGGUGUACCUGUCCUUCUCGACCACGACGGCCCCGUGGUUGGAGACAGGCGUCCUUUAAACCCAGUUGUGAGUUGUGGGUCGACCAGUCAAGAAGCGUCGGUAGUCUUCCAAGUUCGUCGUCGUCGUCCCAAGUUUCAGAAGUCCACCCGCGAGAUGUACCGUUUCGUGACAGGAGGCGGCUCGAAAACCGAUUCUACGCACCUUGCGCUCUCCCCCGUCGAAGUCUACGUGACCUUGUAGUUGAGUCGGACCCGAGGUGAAGGUUGGUCUCUGGUCCGAGCUGUCUCUUGCCUGCGUGUAGAUUGAGAAGAAGAUCGUCCUUGUACUAACACGUCGGACUCCAGGACUAGGCGGUCAACACGUGGAAGUAUGUUGUCUUACCACCGAGGCGGUCGAGCUGCUCGAACUGCCUUGUAAAGUUCUUGGCGUAUGUCGGGUUCCUAUACGACCACAAGUUCUUGGACGACUUCCUCUAUCGUUGGAACGUUUCCCCGCGUCCGCCGCGCUGCACCCACGACUUUGGGCUCAUGCCCAUUUAAACGUCGACAUCAAGUACCCGCGUUUAAAAACUAAUCCUCAUCUAAGAGAGUAUUUUAAGUAAAUCUAUCCUACAACUAUGUCUCUAACUAUCAAAAGAGAAUUUAGGAAGCAAACCGACUGUCUAUGUCAUGAAAAGAAAACGUACCUUCUCUACCGUGUCUUUAUAAUUAAUCCAGUGCCCAAGAAAAAGAGGGGUCAAUUUAAUCACCAAAAGUCUUCGGGAACGGAAAAUAGGACAAAACCACAUGUACAAAUGACCCUUUGUCUGACGUUAGACUUAAAUGUUUAUAACGAAAGACA